AUGCUACUGCGAUGUUGGUUCGACUCACUCAGGACGUGCUACUGAUCUAAUGAGAGCGGUGUUCUGAUUGAGUCGUGCCAAUAUCUUAGUAUUCUUU
Ananas comosus (pineapple) is the source of this 97-nucleotide microRNA precursor. The record is from Rfam. NCBI's taxonomy places the organism in Eukaryota, Viridiplantae, Streptophyta, Magnoliopsida, Poales, Bromeliaceae.